AUCAACUUUCGAUGGUAGGAUAGAGGCCUACCAUGGUGGUAACGGGUAACGGGGUGUUAGGGCACGACACCGGAGAGGGAGCCUGAGAAACGGCUACCACAUCCAAGGAUGGCAGCAGGCGCGCAAAUUACCCAAUCCCGACACGGGGAGGUAGUGACAAUAAAUAACAAUACGGGGUUCUUUAGGAUCUCGUAAUUGGAAUGAGUACAAUUUAAAUCUCUUAACGAGGAACAAUUGGAGGGCAAGUCUGGUGCCAGCAGCCGCGGUAAUUCCAGCUCCAAUAGCGUAUAUUAAAGUUGUUGCAGUUAAAAAGCUCGUAGUUGAAUUUCGGGGUUAGUAGGUUGGUCAUGCCUCUGGUAUGUACUGGUCUCACUGAUUCCUCCUUCCUGAUGAGCCGUAAUGCCAUUAAUUUGGUGUUGCGGGGAAUUUGGACUGUUACUUUGAAAAAAUUAGAGUGUUUAAAGCAAGCUAACGCUUGAAUACAUUAGCAUGGAAUAAUGAAAUAGGACGUUCGAUCCUAUUUUGUUGGUUUCUAGGAUUGACGUAAUGAUUAAUAGGGAUAGUUGGGGGCAUUAGUAUUCAAUUGUCAGAGGUGAAAUUCUUGGAUUUAUUGAAGACUAACUACUGCGAAAGCAUUUGCCAAGGAUGUUUUCAUUAAUCAAGAACGAAAGUUAGGGGAUCGAAGACGAUCAGAUACCGUCGUAGUCUUAACCAUAAACUAUGCCGACUAGGGAUCGGAUGAUGUUAAUUUUUUAAUGACUCAUUCGGCGCCUUACGGGAAACCAAAGUGUUUGGGUUC
This 799-nucleotide non-coding RNA is filed under the name uncultured Glomus. RNAcentral's name for it is "SSU rRNA". It matches the Rfam family "Eukaryotic small subunit ribosomal RNA", at positions 314 to 1114 of the family's 1831-position model. Lineage: Eukaryota; Fungi; Glomeromycota; Glomeromycetes; Glomerales; Glomeraceae. The record is from RNAcentral. RNAcentral also lists the same sequence under 3 other names.